RNAcentral lists this ribosomal RNA (256 nucleotides) under Staphylococcus aureus. RNAcentral describes it as "partial 23S ribosomal RNA". It matches the Rfam family "Bacterial large subunit ribosomal RNA", at positions 1 to 254 of the family's 2925-position model. The record is from RNAcentral. Lineage: Bacteria; Bacillati; Bacillota; Bacilli; Caryophanales; Staphylococcaceae.
GAUUAAGUUAUUAAGGGCGCACGGUGGAUGCCUUGGCACUAGAAGCCGAUGAAGGACGUUACUAACGACGAUAUGCUUUGGGGAGCUGUAAGUAAGCUUUGAUCCAGAGCUUUCCGAAUGGGGAAACCCAGCAUGAGUUAUGUCAUGUUAUCGAUAUGUGAAUACAUAGCAUAUCAGAAGGCACACCCGGAGAACUGAAACAUCUUAGUACCCGGAGGAAGAGAAAGAAAAUUCGAUUCCCUUAGUAGCGGCGAGC